UACGUAGGGGGCAAGCGUUGUCCGGAUUUAUUGGGCGUAAAGAGCGUGUAGGCGGCCAGGUAGGUCCGUUGUGAAAACUCGAGGCUCAACCUCGAGACGCCGAUGGAAACCAUCUGGCUAGAGUCCGGAAGAGGAGAGUGGAAUUCCCGGUGUAGUGGUGAAAUGCGCAGAUAUCAGGAAGAACACCCGUGGCGAAGGCGGCUCUCUGGAACGCAACUGACGCUGAGACGCGAAAGCGUGGGGAGCAAACAGG
Molecule: ribosomal RNA, 253 nt
Filed under: uncultured bacterium
Lineage: Bacteria
Description: partial 16S ribosomal RNA
Rfam family: Bacterial small subunit ribosomal RNA
Source: RNAcentral